This 495-nucleotide ribosomal RNA is filed under the name uncultured bacterium. Its description in RNAcentral is "partial 16S ribosomal RNA". It matches the Rfam family "Bacterial small subunit ribosomal RNA", at positions 28 to 507 of the family's 1533-position model. The record is from RNAcentral.
GAUGAACGCUGGCGGCGUGCCUAAUACAUGCAAGUAGAACGCUGAAGGAGGGGCUUGCUCUUCUGGAUGAGUUGCGAACGGGUGAGUAACGCGUAGGUAACCUGCCUUUUAGCGGGGGAUAACUAUUGGAAACUAUAGCUAAUACCGCAUGACAACAGUUAUUGCAUGAUAACUGUUUAAAAGUGGCAACUGCUCCACUACCAGAUGCACCUGCGUUGUAUUAGCUAGUUGGUGAGGUAACGGCUCACAAAGGCGACGAUACAUAGUCGAAGUGCGAGGGGGAGCGGCCACCCUGAGACUGAGACACGGCCCAGACUCCCACGGGAGGCAGCAAUAGGGAAUCGUCGGGAAUGGAUGGAAGACUGAGCGAGAAAGGCCGAGGGAGGGAAGAAGGAUGUCGGAUCGUAAAGCUCUGUUGUAAGAGAAGAAAGAGCGUGAGAGUGGAAAGUUCACACUGUGACGGUAACUUAUAAGAAAGGACCGGCUAACUACGUG